This 996-nucleotide unclassified non-coding RNA is filed under the name Haliotis rubra (blacklip abalone). RNAcentral describes it as "uncharacterized LOC124260494, transcript variant X5". The record is from RNAcentral. Lineage: Eukaryota; Metazoa; Mollusca; Gastropoda; Lepetellida; Haliotidae.
CUGCAGUAUCUUCCAUGCAUGGAUGAGAAAUUAAGUCAUAUAUCCUUUCCAAUAAGCUACCAUGUAUGGAAUCAACCCUGAAAACAUAGCAAACACUCUUCCAUCUGAGUCAUACCAUCCAUACAUAAUCAAAAUAUUACAUAAUCACAUUUUCACCACUACUAUACCACUUCCAAAAUCAACCCAGGAUCCCAAGUAAACCUCUACUCUGUAAACAAUCUCACUAUCCCUUACUCAAUAUAAUAAAGAAACUAUCCUGACAUUUAUCUGUUUCAAACAUUUCACAUUGACAGCGGUCAGUGUUAUUUACAAACACACUGAAACCUGCCAAUCCAAAUAUUUCCCUGAAUGACAUCUACUUGUGGCUGAACAUCCUUCAUGCACUUUCAACUCAUCACAAACCAAGCACAAACAUAUUUCAGUUGGAUGGUGAAUCAGAGAUUUAUCAAUCAGUGGAGCCUCUUGCGUCAUGAAAGCUCGCAGUGUGGAAAUGACAAGCAACAAAUCAGCUAAUUGCACAUAUAAACCCCCACAACCAAUCUCAGGCCAUUUAUAUCAGAUGGGAAUCUGUUAAAGGAUGGUCGCAUCACGGCAAAACAUUCUGUAUGUGGGUCAAACCGACCAUUACAUCAGCCUGCCAUCCCUGGCGGAGUCUAUUUACGUAUCUCCAACCUCCAGUUUUUCAGACCCUCGAGACAACACAGCUCAACUUGUGGAGGGGGCAAGGUGUAGCGUACCUAGUGUCACAGCGGUCUGUCAUCCACCCGCCAACUGUUUACCAAGUCAUCAGCCAAUCAGAGAGCAGUAUGCAAGUGAUGAAUCACCUGUGGUCUGGAGGUUAGACACGCUCAGGUAUAGAAGGCUGUGUCAGUAUCUGAGGCCGUCAGUCGAGGGGGUCGCAGUUGAGGGAACGCUACCUCAUAGUCCUAUGCCAGUGUCAUCAUGCAGUUUUUCUGAAAUAAAACACACAAGAUAAGUGGUUCAUUCUGUGAUUCA